RNAcentral lists this transfer RNA (72 nucleotides) under Camelus bactrianus (Bactrian camel). It matches the Rfam family "tRNA". From Rfam's summary of the family: Transfer RNA (tRNA) molecules are approximately 80 nucleotides in length. Their secondary structure includes four short double-helical elements and three loops (D, anti-codon, and T loops). Further hydrogen bonds mediate the characteristic L-shaped molecular structure. tRNAs have two regions of fundamental functional importance: the anti-codon, which is responsible for specific mRNA codon recognition, and the 3' end, to which the tRNAs corresponding amino acid is attached (by aminoacyl-tRNA synthetases). tRNAs cope with the degeneracy of the genetic code in two manners: having more than one tRNA (with a specific anti-codon) for a particular amino acid; and 'wobble' base-pairing, i.e. permitting non-standard base-pairing at the 3rd anti-codon position. Lineage: Eukaryota; Metazoa; Chordata; Mammalia; Artiodactyla; Camelidae. The record is from Rfam by way of RNAcentral. RNAcentral also lists the same sequence under 3 other names.
GGGGAUAUAGCUCAGUGGUAGAGCGCAUGCUUAGCAUGUGUGAGGUCCUAGGUUCAAUCCCCAGUACCUCCA